Molecule: ribosomal RNA, 471 nt
Filed under: uncultured organism
Description: partial 16S ribosomal RNA
Rfam family: Bacterial small subunit ribosomal RNA
Source: RNAcentral
ACUCCUGCGGGAGGCAGCAGUGGGGAAUUUUGGACAAUGGGCGAAAGCCUGAUCCAGCAAUGCCGCGUGAGUGAAGAAGGCCUUCGGGUUGUAAAGCUCUUUUGUCAGGGAAGAAACGGUGAAAGCUAAUAUCUUUUGCUAAUGACGGUACCUGAAGAAUAAGCACCGGCUAACUACGUGCCAGCAGCCGCGGUAAUACGUAGGGUGCAAGCGUUAAUCGGAAUUACUGGGCGUAAAGCGUGCGCAGGCGGUUUUGUAAGUCUGAUGUGAAAUCCCCGGGCUCAACCUGGGAAUUGCAUUGGAGACUGCAAGGCUAGAAUCUGGCAGAGGGGGGUAGAAUUCCACGUGUAGCAGUGAAAUGCGUAGAUAUGUGGAGGAACACCGAUGGCGAAGGCAGCCCCCUGGGUCAAGAUUGACGCUCAUGCACGAAAGCGUGGGGAGCAAACAGGAUUAGAAACCCGUGUAGUCCCA